Molecule: long non-coding RNA, 2175 nt
Organism: Electrophorus electricus (electric eel)
Lineage: Eukaryota; Metazoa; Chordata; Actinopteri; Gymnotiformes; Gymnotidae
Source: Ensembl
UUUUCUGUCUUUUUAGGCAAAAUAUACCUUUUGCCUACCUUUUAGUUCAUUCUCUCAUGUUUCAGUCAUAUCAUCAAAAGUGAGGUUUGGCCUAAAGUCCUGACCUACAAGACUCAGGAUUCCACUACAUGUUUCAUCUUUUAGAUGAUUCUGUUUGGUUGCUUUGAGACACUUUAUCUAUAGCCCUUAGGAAAGGUCUUUAUUUACACUGUUUCUUCAGGCUGCAAUUGCCUAGGAUACUCUGAAAUUUUCAUUGAAGCUGCAUGUACAAGCCUGGGUGGCUGAUGGCUACUGCUUUUUCCUCAGUACAUGAAGGCAUCUACUGCACCUUUCUAAAUGCUGCAAAAUCAAAGCAAAACAAAUCACAACCCCAAACAUAAUUUAAAAAGCUCAAUUCUGUGAACUAACUGGCACUGCUGUUGAGCUAUACAGGAGCCCACACUUAAUUUUUUAUCUCAAUCAUGUUUACCAUUUUGUAGUUUUAAAUCCCUGCAUGUAAAAUUACCACUGACCUGUCCCAUUGUCAACACGUACAUAUUCAUCAGUUUCAGAAAUGUGAUGUGCAGUGAAAUUAAGACAAAAUUUGGCUGACGCUUUUUUCUAAAGUAACUUACAAUCAUGACUGAACACACCUUGAGUAAUUGACGGUUAAGGCCAUUGCUCAAGGGCCCAGCAGUGGUAACUUGACAGUGGUGAGGCUUAAACUGGUAAUUUUCUGAUUACUAGUCUUAAUAGCACCUUAACCAAGGUAGAACCUUAACCACUGUGCUACCACUGCCCCAACCACAAGUCUGCUAUUGGGUAAAACAUGCUUUGUUAUCCUGUUCUUUCAUCCAGACUGCCUUCUUUUUGUGAAAAGGAUCAUUCCUUGAAAUAGCACUCACUCACUCACUCUCUCUCUCUCUCUCUCUCUCUCUCUCUCUCUCUCUCUCUCUCACACACACACACACACAUUAUAUCUUGUGUGAAAGAAUUGGGAAGGCUGUGGAUUAGUGAAGGUCUGAAUGCAGCUGUACUCUGAUUUUUCCCAGAUUACUACCCUGCGUCAGAGAGUGGAGGAACUCAGUAAAUUCUCCAAGAAGGGUGCUGCCGCUCGCCGCAGAAAGUAAAGUUUCCAACGUCCUGCUGGUUAAACUACAUCCCCACCCGCCGCUCCAAGCCGUAGACCUGUGCCCUCAGGCUCCUCCAGCUGCACCGGGGGUCUUCAGACAGCCAAAGACUGACUCAGCCUCACCUACCAAAUGCCAUGUGAUGCAUCCCUGGCCUAGUCUUACUUGCAGUCAAAGUAGAGCCCUGUUCCAUCUGACCACUGCUAGGUUCUCAUUGUGUGUGUAUGUAAAUAAAGUAUUAGUUCUUCAGCUUUUUCUGCAUCUUUGUUCAGGUGUCACACUCUCCCAUUUAACAGAGUGCAGGAGGGCCAUAGCUCUACACUUAAGACAUUUAAGUACGCACUUAAAUUUAAUUUAAUUGCAUUAAAUUGUAGACACUUAAAUUGCAUUCAAUUAACACUUACUGUUGUAAGAUAUGUGUUUGGAGACAUCACUGUAGACACAAUUCACUUCUUUUAAAAUAUAUGUUUGUCAAUAAGAUAAUCCACUCACAUUUUAUGAGAAUUUCAUUUUUAUAUAGAGGGUACAGACAAACUAGCUCUCAGUUUCUACAGUGAAAUUACCUCGAAUCCAGAUAUGCCUAAGGAACUCAUGACAGCUGGGACUUGGUGAAAUAAAAAUAAUUAGACCAGCAAGCAUUCAUAUUAAGUAGAGAUGAUCAAGCCAAAGUCUUUGAGUUGAACAUUGUCUGCAAAACUAAACAAACAGAAACCAACAGAUGUUACAGGAAGGAUAUGCUUGCUGUUGGAUACAUUUAAAUAAAUGGUUUGGUGCCAGGUUUUCCACCCCAAAUUGUAGUAGGCAAACCAAGUCUCCUCUCCUAAGUUUCCUUUAUUGGUAUUGCACAAUGAGACUAACAUAACCAACACGAACUAAAAAUUGUUUUUAAUCGUUUUUAUGAACACAUGCCCAAAUCCUUGCUUUAGAGCAUCCUGUGCUUGUCUCCAAAAAUAUCUGACCUGCUCACCUCAUGAAAUUGGUCGGCAUUAUUAAGCAGUGUAAAAAAGUCCAGACACAUUUUUAGUUUUUGUUUAGUUUUUAUUGAAAAUGGAAAAUUGUGUGCGCG